CCGUCACACCAUGAGAGUCGGGAACACCCGAAGUCCGUAGUCUAACCGCAAGGGGACGCGGCCGAAGGUGGGUUCGAUAAUUGGGUGAAGUCGUAACAAGGUAGC
This 105-nucleotide ribosomal RNA is filed under the name uncultured bacterium. RNAcentral describes it as "partial 16S ribosomal RNA". It matches the Rfam family "Bacterial small subunit ribosomal RNA", at positions 1394 to 1500 of the family's 1533-position model. The record is from RNAcentral.